Molecule: ribosomal RNA, 253 nt
Filed under: uncultured bacterium
Lineage: Bacteria
Description: partial 16S ribosomal RNA
Rfam family: Bacterial small subunit ribosomal RNA
Source: RNAcentral
UACAGAGGGUGCAAGCGUUAAUCGGAAUUACUGGGCGUAAAGCGUGCGUAGGUGGUUCUUUAAGUCAGGUGUGAAAUCCCUGGGCUCAACCUGGGAACUGCAUUUGAUACUGGAGAGCUAGAGUGUGGUAGAGGGUGGUGGAAUUCCCGGUGUAGCGGUGAAAUGCGUAGAUAUCGGGAGGAACAUCAGUGGCGAAGGCGGCCACCUGGACCAACACUGACACUGAGGCACAAAAGCGUGGGUAGCAAACAGG